UACGAAGGGGGCUAGCGUUGCUCGGAAUCACUGGGCGUAAAGGGUGCGUAGGCGGGUCUUUAAGUCAGGGGUGAAAUCCUGGAGCUCAACUCCAGAACUGCCUUUGAUACUGAAGAUCUUGAGUCCGGGAGAGGUGAGUGGAAUCCCCAGUGUAGCGGUGAAAUGCGUAGAUAUUGGGAGGAACACCAGUGGCGAAGGCGGCUCACUGGACCGGAACUGACGCUGAGGCGCGAAAGCGUGGGGAGCAAACGGG
Molecule: ribosomal RNA, 253 nt
Filed under: uncultured bacterium
Lineage: Bacteria
Description: partial 16S ribosomal RNA
Rfam family: Bacterial small subunit ribosomal RNA
Source: RNAcentral